AGAUGCGCGCCAGUUUCAGGUGUCCUGCGCCGCCGUGCGCAGGGUGAAACGGGAAGCCGGUGCGUCAUGCAAAUGACCAGUCCGGCGCUGCCCCCGCAACGGUAAGCGAGCGAAGCCUUCGAAACACCACUGUGCCUCGGCAUGGGAAGGUGAAGGCCUUCACGACCCUCGCAAGCCCGGAGACCGGCCUGAAGCUUCUGUUUGGCA
This 207-nucleotide non-coding RNA is filed under the name Pseudomonas sp. JV241A. The record is from RNAcentral. Lineage: Bacteria; Pseudomonadati; Pseudomonadota; Gammaproteobacteria; Pseudomonadales; Pseudomonadaceae.